UUAAGCGACUAAGCGUACACGGUGGAUGCCCUGGCAGUCAGAGGCGAUGAAGGGCGUGCUAAUCUGCGAUAAGCGCCGGUAAGGUGAUAUGAACCGUUAUAACCGGCGAUACCCGAAUGGGGAAACCCAGUGUGACUCGUCACACUAUCAUUAACUGAAUCCAUAGGUUAAUGAGGCGAACCGGGGGAACUGAAACAUCUAAGUACCCCGAGGAAAAGAAAUCAACCGAGAUUCCCCCAGUAGCGGCGAGCGAACGGGGAGGAGCCCAGAGCCUGAAUCAGCAUGUGUGUUAGUGGAAGCGUCUGGAAAGGCGCGCGAUACAGGGUGACAGCCCCGUACACAAAAGCGCAUGUGCUGUGAGCUCGAUGAGUAGGGCGGGACACGUGGUAUCCUGUCUGAAUAUGGGGGGACCAUCCUCCAAGGCUAAAUACUCCUGACUGACCGAUAGUGAACCAGUACCGUGAGGGAAAGGCGAAAAGAACCCCGGCGAGGGGAGUGAAAAAGAACCUGAAACCGUGUACGUACAAGCAGUGGGAGCCCCACCACUAAGCCAGUGGUGAACUCCACAUACGCAUCCUUUGCUGAGGAUACGGUUAACGGAGCGAAAGCGACGUUCAACCUCAAAAGAAGCAGAGGGGGCUUAGUGGUGGGGUGACUGCGUACCUUUUGUAUAAUGGGUCAGCGACUUAUAUUCUGUAGCAAGGUUAACCGAAUAGGGGAGCCGGAGGGAAACCGAGUCUUAAUUGGGCGUUAAGUUGCAGGGUAUAGACCCGAAACCCGGUGAUCUAGCCAUGGGCAGGUUGAAGGUUGGGUAACACUAACUGGAGGACCGAACCGACUAAUGUUGAAAAAUUAGCGGAUGACCUGUGGCUGGGGGUGAAAGGCCAAUCAAACCGGGAGAUAGCUGGUUCUCCCCGAAAGCUAUUUAGGUAGCGCCUCGUGAAUUCAUCUCCGGGGGUAGAGCACUGUUUCGGCUAGGGGGCCAUCCCGGCUUACCAACCCGAUGCAAACUGCGAAUACCGGAGAAUGUUAUCACGGGAGACACACGGCGGGUGCUAACGUCCGUCGUGAAGAGGGAAACAACCCAGACCGCCAGCUAAGGUCCCAAAGUCAUGGUUAAGUGGGAAACGAUGUGGGAAGGCCCAGACAGCCAGGAUGUUGGCUUAGAAGCAGCCAUCAUUUAAAGAAAGCGUAAUAGCUCACUGGUCGAGUCGGCCUGCGCGGAAGAUGUAACGGGGCUAAACCAUGCACCGAAGCUGCGGCAGCGAACGUAUCACUUAAAGCGAUUCAGCGGGUUACGAUUGACGGAGCGAAGCGACGUCAAAGCGUAUACAAAGUCGAGUCGGUUUAAGGAUACGUUCGUUGGGUAGGGGAGCGUUCUGUAAGCCUGUGAAGGUGGCCUGUGAGGGUUGCUGGAGGUAUCAGAAGUGCGAAUGCUGACAUAAGUAACGAUAAAGCGGGUGAAAAGCCCGCUCGCCGGAAGACCAAGGGUUCCUGUCCAACGUUAAUCGGGGCAGGGUGAGUCGACCCCUAAGGCGAGGCCGAAAGGCGUAGUCGAUGGGAAACGGGUUAAUAUUCCCGUACUUGGUGUUACUGCGAAGGGGGGACGGAGAAGGCUAUGUUGGCCGGGCGACGGUUGUCCCGGUUUAAGCGUGUAGGCUGGUUUUCCAGGCAAAUCCGGAAAAUCAAGGCUGAGGCGUGAUGACGAGGCACUACGGUGCUGAAGCAACAAAUGCCCUGCUUCCAGGAAAAGCCUCUAAGCAUCAGGUAACAUCAAAUCGUACCCCAAACCGACACAGGUGGUCAGGUAGAGAAUACCAAGGCGCUUGAGAGAACUCGGGUGAAGGAACUAGGCAAAAUGGUGCCGUAACUUCGGGAGAAGGCACGCUGACACGUAGGUGAAGUGAUUUACUCAUGGAGCUGAAGUCAGUCGAAGAUACCAGCUGGCUGCAACUGUUUAUUAAAAACACAGCACUGUGCAAACACGAAAGUGGACGUAUACGGUGUGACGCCUGCCCGGUGCCGGAAGGUUAAUUGAUGGGGUCAGCGCAAGCGAAGCUCCUGAUCGAAGCCCCGGUAAACGGCGGCCGUAACUAUAACGGUCCUAAGGUAGCGAAAUUCCUUGUCGGGUAAGUUCCGACCUGCACGAAUGGCGUAAUGAUGGCCAGGCUGUCUCCACCCGAGACUCAGUGAAAUUGAACUCGCUGUGAAGAUGCAGUGUACCCGCGGCAAGACGGAAAGACCCCGUGAACCUUUACUAUAGCUUGACACUGAACAUUGAGCCUUGAUGUGUAGGAUAGGUGGGAGGCUUUGAAGUGUGGACGCCAGUCUGCAUGGAGCCGGCCUUGAAAUACCACCCUUUAAUGUUUGAUGUUCUAACGUGGACCCGUAAUCCGGGUUGCGGACAGUGUCUGGUGGGUAGUUUGACUGGGGCGGUCUCCUCCUAAAGAGUAACGGAGGAGCACGAAGGUUGGCUAAUCCUGGUCGGACAUCAGGAGGUUAGUGCAAUGGCAUAAGCCAGCUUGACUGCGAGCGUGACGGCGCGAGCAGGUGCGAAAGCAGGUCAUAGUGAUCCGGUGGUUCUGAAUGGAAGGGCCAUCGCUCAACGGAUAAAAGGUACUCCGGGGAUAACAGGCUGAUACCGCCCAAGAGUUCAUAUCGACGGCGGUGUUUGGCACCUCGAUGUCGGCUCAUCACAUCCUGGGGCUGAAGUAGGUCCCAAGGGUAUGGCUGUUCGCCAUUUAAAGUGGUACGCGAGCUGGGUUUAGAACGUCGUGAGACAGUUCGGUCCCUAUCUGCCGUGGGCGCUGGAGAACUGAGGGGGGCUGCUCCUAGUACGAGAGGACCGGAGUGGACGCAUCACUGGUGUUCGGGUUGUCAUGCCAAUGGCACUGCCCGGUAGCUAAAUGCGGAAGAGAUAAGUGCUGAAAGCAUCUAAGCACGAAACUUGCCCCGAGAUGAGUUCUCCCUGAGACUUUAGGUCUCCUGAAGGAACGUUGAAGACGACGACGUUGAUAGGCCGGGUGUGUAAGCGCAGCGAUGCGUUGAGCUAACCGGUACUAAUGAACCGUGAGGCUUAACCUU
Molecule: ribosomal RNA, 3084 nt
Filed under: Salmonella enterica subsp. enterica serovar Bovismorbificans
Lineage: Bacteria; Pseudomonadati; Pseudomonadota; Gammaproteobacteria; Enterobacterales; Enterobacteriaceae
Description: bacterial LSU rRNA
Rfam family: Bacterial large subunit ribosomal RNA
Source: RNAcentral